RNAcentral lists this ribosomal RNA (254 nucleotides) under uncultured bacterium. RNAcentral's name for it is "partial 16S ribosomal RNA". It matches the Rfam family "Bacterial small subunit ribosomal RNA", at positions 524 to 776 of the family's 1533-position model. The record is from RNAcentral.
CACGUAGGGGGCGAGCGUUGUCCGGAUUUAUUGGGCGUAAAGAGCUCGUAGGCGGCUUAGUAAGUCAGGUGUGAAACCUCCAGGCUCAACCUGGGGACGCCACCUGAUACUGCUGUGGCUAGUGUCCGGUAGGGGAGCAGGGAACUCCUGGUGUAGCGGUGAAAUGCGCAGAUAUCAGGAAGAACACCAGCUGCGAAGGCGCUGCUCUGGGCCGGAACUGACGCUGAGGAGCGAAAGCGUGGGGAGCAAACAGG